CAGGUGUAGCAAUACAUGCUGGCGACCGGCGCACGGGUGCGUAACACGUAUGCAAUCUUCCCUUAACUGGUGAAUAGCUUUGAGAAAUCAGAAUUAAUACACCAUAACACUGCGAAAUGGCAUCAUUUUGCAAUUAAAGCUCCGGCGGUUAAGGAUGAGCAUGCGCCCCAUUAGCUAGUUGGCGAGGUAACGGCUCACCAAGGCAACGAUGGGUAGGGGUUCUAAGAGGAUUUACCCCCACACGGGAACUGAGACACGGUCCCGACUCCUACGGGAGGCAGCAGUAAGGAAUAUUGGUCAAUGGACGCAAGUCUGAACCAGCCAUGCCGCGUGCAGGAUGAAGGUUCUAUGGAUUGUAAACUGCUUUUGUACGGGAAAAAAUCCCUGGUUUCUACCGGGGUUGAUGGUACCGUAAGAAUAAGGAUCGGCUAACUCCGUGCCAGCAGCCGCGGUAAUACGGAGGAUCCAAGCGUUAUCCGGAUUCACUGGGUUUAUAGGGUGCGUAGGUGGAAUGACAAGUCAGUGGUGAAAACCUGCAGCUUAACUGUAGAACUGCCAUUGAUACUGUUGUUCUUGAGUACAUUUGAUGUGAGCGGAAUGUGUCGUGUAGCGGUGAAAUGCUUAGAUAUGACACAGAACACCAAUUGCGAAGGCAGCUCACAAAACUGUAACUGACACUGAGGCACGAAAGCGUGGGGAUCAAACAGGAUUAGAUACCCUGGUAGUCCACGCCGUAAACGUUGAAUACUAGAUGUAUGCUCGUUAGAGCAUGUGUCAAAGCGAAAGCGUUAAGUAUUCCACCUGGGGAGUACGA
RNAcentral lists this ribosomal RNA (814 nucleotides) under uncultured Bacteroidota bacterium. Its description in RNAcentral is "bacterial SSU rRNA". It matches the Rfam family "Bacterial small subunit ribosomal RNA", at positions 71 to 885 of the family's 1533-position model. Lineage: Bacteria; Pseudomonadati; Bacteroidota. The record is from RNAcentral.